Long non-coding RNA from Haliotis rufescens (red abalone), 300 nucleotides. RefSeq lists it as uncharacterized. The record is from RefSeq and is a predicted model, not a curated record. Lineage: Eukaryota; Metazoa; Mollusca; Gastropoda; Lepetellida; Haliotidae. The transcript is spliced from 3 exons.
CUCUGACCAUUUCCGCAUUUCCGCAAGCUGAUCCUGGUAUUGGCUGUGAUUUUGACGGCUCUGGGGUGAAAGGGGAGAUGGCUGACGUGUCGAGCUACCCUCUGUUAUUCGCCGAGCUGCUCCGAAGAGGCUGGUCAGAGGCAGAGCUGGAGAACGUCGCUUACAGAAACUUCUAGAGAGUUUUCAAACAAGUGGAAGCGGUUCGGGAUGCUAUGAGAUCGGUUCCACCGGACAGCACACUUCUGGACAGAUCGGCAGUUCCAGAUCAAACCUGUUUGUCCAAACUGCCAUAUUUGCCAU